This 424-nucleotide ribosomal RNA is filed under the name uncultured bacterium. Its description in RNAcentral is "bacterial SSU rRNA". It matches the Rfam family "Bacterial small subunit ribosomal RNA", at positions 355 to 796 of the family's 1533-position model. The record is from RNAcentral.
UUAGGAAUCUUGGACAAUGGGCGCAAGCCUGAUCCAGCCAUGCCGCGUGAGUGAUGAAGGCCUUAGGGUUGUAAAGCUCUUUCAGCGGGGAAGAUAAUGACGGUACCCGCAGAAGAAGCCCCGGCUAACUUCGUGCCAGCAGCCGCGGUAAUACGAAGGGGGCUAGCGUUGCUCGGAAUCACUGGGCGUAAAGCGCACGUAGGCGGAUCUUUAAGUCAGGGGUGAAAUCCUGGAGCUCAACUCCAGAACUGCCUUUGAUACUGGGGAUCUCGAGUCCGGAAGAGGUGAGUGGAACUCCGAGUGUAGAGGUGAAAUUCGUAGAUAUUCGGAAGAACACCAGUGGCGAAGGCGGCGCACUGGACCGAGACUGACGCUGAGGCACGAAAGCGUGGGGAGCAAACAGGAUUAGAUACCCCCGUAGUCC